GGAUGUGAGGGCGAUCUGGCUGCAACAUCUGUCACCCCAUUGAUCACCAGGGUUGAUUUGGCUGAUCUGGUUGGCAAGGCAGGUGCCCCCUCCUCCUGCAAUGCUCCAUGUGCAUCUCUCCUGAAGCUGUGUGCUUGGUCAAAGAGGAUGACCACCCCCGAUAGAGGAGGACCGUUCCUGGGUCAGGGGUGUACGGGUAGCUGCACUCCCCUGCUAGAACCUCCAAACAAGCUUUCAAAAUUAACCUGGAUGCAGACACAUCCUUCCCCCAACUUAGUU
RNAcentral lists this small nuclear RNA (279 nucleotides) under Chinchilla lanigera (long-tailed chinchilla). Its description in RNAcentral is "7SK RNA (ENSCLAG00000022156.1)". It matches the Rfam family "7SK RNA". Rfam says of the family: 7SK was discovered as an abundant small nuclear RNA in the mid-70s but a possible function has only recently been suggested. Two independent studies have found that 7SK RNA binds the CDK9/cyclin T complex (known as elongation factor P-TEFb). Lineage: Eukaryota; Metazoa; Chordata; Mammalia; Rodentia; Chinchillidae. The record is from Rfam by way of RNAcentral.